Molecule: non-coding RNA, 125 nt
Organism: Paxillus rubicundulus Ve08.2h10
Lineage: Eukaryota; Fungi; Basidiomycota; Agaricomycetes; Boletales; Paxillaceae
Source: Rfam
GGCCGACUAGCUCAGUUGGUUAGAGCGUCGUGCUAAUACAUUGACUGGCAGCUGUUCGUUAGCCACACUGAACAGCCGUCAGUCACGUGACGCGAAGGUCUUGGGUUCGAUCCCCACGUUGGCCA